Paramisgurnus dabryanus is the source of this 408-nucleotide long non-coding RNA. RefSeq lists it as uncharacterized. Lineage: Eukaryota; Metazoa; Chordata; Actinopteri; Cypriniformes; Cobitidae. The record is from RefSeq and is a predicted model, not a curated record.
GUGGGUGGAGCUUUACCCGCAAGUGGGCUGUACAAACUUCCAGAGGAUUUUGAUUGGUUUAUUUAUAUCACCUGUAGCAGCUAUUGGUUUAUGCUCCACAGUUGGUGGCGCUAUAAGUUUUAUUGUGAUCGAUCAGAAAACAAAGAAGAAAACCGCUUUCACAUGUCAGCGUGUCGUUGAAAUGAAGGGAUUAUGGAUUCUGAAGACCAUAAUAAUAAGGACAAUGCAGGACAAAGGCUGUCAAAUAACUGUGGAGUGUUUGUCUUGAUGGCAAUAUGCACUGUAUGUUAUUCUGGGACAGAAGUUUGACUUCACUGAACUAAACAUGAAGAACAUAGGAAAAUGGUGGUGUGCCAUCUUGCUUGAAAAUUAAACAUGGGAGAAAGAGAAAAUGAGCUGUUGUACCUG